CCUACGGGGGGCUGCAGUGAGGAAUAUUGGUCAAUGGGCGCGAGCCUGAACCAGCCAAGUCGCGUGAAGGAUGACUGCCCUACGGGUUGUAAACUUCUUUUAUCAAGGAAUAAAGUGAGGCACGUGUGCCUUUUUGAGAGUACUUUAUGAAAAAGGAUCGGCUAACUCCGUGCCAGCAGCCGCGGUAAUACGGAGGAUCCGAGCGUUAUCCGGAUUUAUUGGGUUUAAAGGGAGCGUAGAUGGGUUGUUAAGUCAGUUGUUAAAGUUUGCGGCUCAACCGCAAUAUUGCAAUUGAUACUGGCAGUCUUGAGUACAGUUGAGGUAGGCGGAAUUCGUGGUGUAGCGGUGAAAUGCUUAGAUAUCACGAAGAACUCCGAUUGCGAAGGCAGCUUACUAAACUGCCACUGACAUUGAUGCACGAAAGUGUGGGUAUCAAACAGGAUUAGAUACCCGAGUAGUC
RNAcentral lists this ribosomal RNA (460 nucleotides) under uncultured bacterium. RNAcentral describes it as "partial 16S ribosomal RNA". It matches the Rfam family "Bacterial small subunit ribosomal RNA", at positions 338 to 795 of the family's 1533-position model. The record is from RNAcentral.